Molecule: ribosomal RNA, 365 nt
Filed under: Bifidobacterium sp.
Lineage: Bacteria; Bacillati; Actinomycetota; Actinomycetes; Bifidobacteriales; Bifidobacteriaceae
Description: partial 23S ribosomal RNA
Rfam family: Bacterial large subunit ribosomal RNA
Source: RNAcentral
UCCCAAGGGUUCGGCUGUUCGCCGAUUAAAGCGGCACGCGAGCUGGGUUCAGAACGUCGUGAGACAGUUUGGUCUCUAUCCUCUGCGCUCGUUGGAAUCCUGAGGAGGCCUGCCCAUAGUACGAGAGGACCUGGGUGGACGAACCUCUGGUAUGCCGGUUGUCGCGCCAGCGGCACGGCCGGUUGGCUACGUUCGGGAGGGAUAACCGCUGAAAGCAUCUAAGCGGGAAGCCUGCUCCAAGAUUAGGAUUCCAUGGAUCUUCGAGAUCCUGUAGCCCGCAUGUUGAACACGUGUUUGAUAGGCCGGAGGUGGAAGCCCCGUGAGGGGUGGAGCCGACCGGUACUAACGGGCGAUGGCGACACAAC